AGCUGUCUUCGGGGCGGGGUGAGAUUCCCCACCGGCGGUAAUCCGGCUCAGAGCCGGCGAGCCCGCGAGCAUAUGCAGAUUUUGGUGAGAUCCCAAAGCCGACGGUACAGUCCGGAUGAAAGAAGACCUGC
Molecule: non-coding RNA, 131 nt
Filed under: Clostridiales bacterium
Lineage: Bacteria; Bacillati; Bacillota; Clostridia; Eubacteriales
Also listed under: 1 other name
Description: FMN
Rfam family: FMN riboswitch aptamer (RFN element)
About the family: The RFN element is a highly conserved domain that is found frequently in the 5'-untranslated regions of prokaryotic mRNAs that encode for flavin mononucleotide (FMN) biosynthesis and transport proteins. This element is a metabolite-dependent riboswitch that directly binds FMN in the absence of proteins.
Source: RNAcentral